UCCAAAGGAAAAUUGUGGUGACAUUC
Molecule: non-coding RNA, 26 nt
Filed under: Homo sapiens (human)
Lineage: Eukaryota; Metazoa; Chordata; Mammalia; Primates; Hominidae
Source: RNAcentral